UUCCGGUUGAUCCUGCCGGAGGUCACUGCUAUUGGGAUUCGACUAAGCCAUGCGAGUCGAGAGGGUUCGGCCCUCGGCAAACGGCUCAGUAACACGCGGAUAAUCUGCCCUUAGGUGGAGGAUAACCUCGGGAAACUGAGAAUAAUACUCCAUAGAUCUAGGAUGCUGGAAUGCACUUAGAUUGAAAGUUCCGGCGCCUAAGGAUGAGUCUGCGGACUAUCAGGUAGUAGUCAGGGUAAAGGCCUGACUAGCCUACGACGGAUACGGGUUGUAAGAGCAAUAACCCGGAGACGAUAUCUGAGACACGAUAUCGGGCCCUACGGGGCGCAGCAGGCGCGAAACCUUCACAAUGUGCGAAAGCGCGAUGAGGGGAUCCCAAGUGCUUGCUCGUAAAAGUAAGCUGUUUUUAUGUCUAAAACGCAUAGAGAGUAAGGGCUGGGUAAGACGGGCGCCAGCCGCCGCGGUAAUACCUGCAGCUCAAGUGGUGACCGCUAUUAUUGGGCCUAAAACAUUCGUAGCCGGUUUGGUAAAUGCCUGGGUAAAUCGUGUAGCUUAACUAUACGAAUUCCGGGUAGACUGCCAAACUUGAGACCGGGAGAAGCUAGAGGUACUCCUUGGGUAGAGGUGAAAUUCUGUAAUCCUAGGGGGACCACCAGUGGCGAAGGCGUCUAGCUAGAACGGGUUUGACGGUGAGGAAUGAAGCCCUGGGGCGCAAACCGGAUUAGAUACCCGGGUAGUCCAGGGUGUAAACGCUGCUUGCUUGAUGUUAGUUGGGCUCCGAGCCCAAUUAGUGUCGGAGAGAAGUUGUUAAGCAAGCUGCCUGGGAAGUACGAUCGCAAGAUUGAAACUUAAAGGAAUUGG
Molecule: ribosomal RNA, 861 nt
Filed under: uncultured archaeon
Lineage: Archaea
Description: bacterial SSU rRNA
Rfam family: Archaeal small subunit ribosomal RNA
Source: RNAcentral